This 538-nucleotide transfer RNA is filed under the name uncultured Prochlorococcus sp. RNAcentral describes it as "partial 16S-23S ribosomal RNA intergenic spacer". The stretch from base 210 to 282 matches the Rfam family "tRNA". Lineage: Bacteria; Bacillati; Cyanobacteriota; Cyanophyceae; Synechococcales; Prochlorococcaceae. The record is from RNAcentral.
ACAGGGAGACAACAAAAUGUUUAAUAUUAUUUUGUCACCUUAGGUCGAUCGGUAUCUCACGUUCUUAAUUUAUUAAGAAUUUCAUUUCCUAAGUUUUUCUAGGUCACACCCAUUAUUUUUCCUGGGCCAUUAGCUCAGGUGGUUAGAGCGCACCCCUGAUAAGGGUGAGGUCCCUGGUUCAAGUCCAGGAUGGCCCAUAUCUCUAUGUUGGGGGUAUAGCUCAGUUGGUAGAGCGCCUGCUUUGCAAGCAGGAUGUCAGCGGUUCGAGUCCGCUUACCUCCACUGAUUACCACCUCUUCCAUAAUCUUUAGAAAGGAAAUGUUUUGAGUCGUGAUCAAAUUCUGAAAGAAUCUAGCUUCCUAAUGAAAAUAUUAAGAUGCUGGACUCAUUGAAUUAAUUUCAUUGUUUUCAGAGAACCUUGACAACUGCAUAGAUUAUUUUUAAAGACAAUAAGCAUUUUUAGUAAUGCAGAUUUAUUAUUUGUGCGAAUGCAUUAAUAACAAUUCUAUUAAGCUGAUGCUUCAAUUUUGAAGUUAUU